This 505-nucleotide ribosomal RNA is filed under the name uncultured bacterium. Its description in RNAcentral is "partial 16S ribosomal RNA". It matches the Rfam family "Bacterial small subunit ribosomal RNA", at positions 28 to 507 of the family's 1533-position model. The record is from RNAcentral.
GACGAACGCUGGCGGCGUGCCUAAUACAUGCAAGUAGAACGCACAGUUUAUACCGUAGCUUGCUACACCAUAGACGGUGAGUUGCGAACGGGUGAGUAACGCGUAGGUAACCUGCCUGGUAGCGGGGGAUAACUAUUUGAAACGAUAGCUAAUACCGCAUAAUAUUAAUUAUUGCAUGAUAAUUAAUUGAAAGGUGCAAUUGCACCACUACCAGAUGGACUGGCGUUGUAUUAGCUAGUAGGUGAGGUAACGGCUCACCUAGGCGAAGAUACAUAGCCGACCUGGGAGGGUGGUCCGCCACACUGGGACUGAGGCACGGCCCAGACUCCUACGGGGGGCAGCAAGAGGGAAACUUCGGCCAUGGGCGAAAGUCUGACCGCACAACGCCGCGUGAGUGGAGAAGGUUUUCGGGUCGUAAAGCUCUGUUGUAAGGGAAGAACGGGUGUGAGAGUGGAAAGUUCACACUGUGACGGUAUCUGACCAGAAAGGAACGGCUAACUACGUG